GCGCCUGUAGCUCAGCUGGAUAGAGCAACUGGCUUCGAACCAGUAGGUCGCAGGUUCGAAUCCUGCCGGGCGCGCCA
This 77-nucleotide transfer RNA is filed under the name Candidatus Tantalella remota. RNAcentral describes it as "tRNA-Arg". It matches the Rfam family "tRNA". From Rfam's summary of the family: Transfer RNA (tRNA) molecules are approximately 80 nucleotides in length. Lineage: Bacteria; Pseudomonadati; Candidatus Omnitrophota. The record is from RNAcentral.